This 760-nucleotide long non-coding RNA is filed under the name Olea europaea subsp. europaea. Lineage: Eukaryota; Viridiplantae; Streptophyta; Magnoliopsida; Lamiales; Oleaceae. The record is from RNAcentral.
GGCAUAGGAGUCUGGGGCGGAGCCCAAUGAAGUCCACUUUGGGCUCAAUCCAAAUGCCUAAAUUUUUAUUUUUCAGCUAUUAGCCUACAUUUGUAUUAGUAAUGCCCAGCCAAGAAAUGAAGAAGCUAGAAGCAGUGAAAUCCAAUACCAUUAAUGAUUAAACCCAAUACCAUUAGAUCCAUUGCAAUCCAGGAUCACAAUCCAUUCCAAUCAUUCCAAGUGGGUUCAAUUUUCAAUUUAACCCACUCAGCCUCCUCCUCCUAGUUUCAGCUUCACCUUUGCCUCCUCCUCCCAUAGCCGGACCUCUCAUUUUCUCAACCUCUUCCAUUCAAUAUCCUCCAAUCGCGGGAUCCGUUGUGGUUCGCCUGUUUUGCCGUUGUUUGAACUCUAGACGGCAGUAGGCAGAUUCGCCCAUCGACUAUUCUUCGGUAGAACCUGCAUAGUAGAGAAAGAAGGUGAAGCCCCCAAACCUGAAACUUAUACUCGUUUUUCCGUUCUUACUUUUCAUUAUUUUGAUUUGUGUAAAUUGUAAUAAUUUUUGGUUUUUUCUUCCUUUUAACAUAUGAAAAUAGUACUUUGCUCUUCAAUUGAUCGGAACCUAGUGCCUACACAUUGCUGUUCAAAUGCUUUUGCUACCAAACUUUCGGUUCCAGCACCACUGCCUCUCUGAGUUGCUUACUCUGUCAUUGUGAAGUGUGAUUGUACAACUUGCAAUAUUAAUUGAUUCUAGUAUUGUUAGAUGAAUUGCCAUGAAUUGCGA